UUUCCAACUAUCCAAACAACCAGGAUGUUUUUUAUCACUGCAGACAGGGCUGCUUCUUUGAUCCACAAAGGAAAGAUAAGGAAUGGAGAUAACCUGCCACAAGAUGCAAAAUCUCUUUACAGGAGCCAGCUAAUGUUCUUGAAUGGGAGGGAACAGAAGAUUUUUGCUGGAACUGGUGGUAAAUUAUCAUUCUGCAAAUAUCCAAGCUGAGGGAGCCUGGACAGGAGCGAUCUUCAGCAAAGUAACUGUGGUUUGUCCUUAUUGUUGUUUCUAUUAUCUCAUAAACAUAGCAUCCACAUCACUUAAAGAAACAUGACAGAUCUAAAGUAAUAGCAUUCUCCGUCCCUAUGCAGCAGCAGUCAGACCUUUUCUUUGAUACCCCAUAAUAGUCCCUUUACUGAAAAUUCAUCCCCUAUGUACUAUAAAUUUAAACAAUCUUACCACAUACUGUUGCUUAUUGGUGCAAAGUGUACCCCCAGGGUUACUGCGUACCAUGUGCUUCAUGAGGCAAGUGCCAACAUCCCACUAUAUUAUUUAACACUAUUAUUAUGUAGUGGUGAAAGCCCAGCAGAGAGAUGCAACAAAGCAUAAAUUACUGAUUCCUUCUCAAUUUGGAGUGCAGGUUGAAGCAAUCUGUUGACAACUUAGUCACCCUUCUGUUUUCCCCCGGCACAUAUUUGCAUUCCUUUCUUCCCCCAAAUCUGUCAGGGCAAAAUUCACUUUCUAUAAAAAAACCCAGAAAACAAAA
Long non-coding RNA from Tyto alba (common barn owl), 748 nucleotides. RefSeq lists it as uncharacterized. NCBI's taxonomy places the organism in Eukaryota, Metazoa, Chordata, Aves, Strigiformes, Tytonidae. The record is from RefSeq and is a predicted model, not a curated record. The transcript has 2 exons.